Molecule: long non-coding RNA, 1476 nt
Organism: Argentina anserina (silverweed cinquefoil)
Lineage: Eukaryota; Viridiplantae; Streptophyta; Magnoliopsida; Rosales; Rosaceae
Exons: 5
Source: RefSeq, a predicted model, not a curated record
CGCAAAUGUUUCUCACAUUGGGUUUGCUUCUUCUCUCACGUCCUAUAGAAAGAAGCUGAAUUUGGGUAAUUGGUAGAAAGUCGUGUUUUAUUAUCAUUGGGUUUUGUUGCUUCUGCGUUUGGUUUGUGAUGGGCAGUUUGUGAUACAUUCAUAUUCGAUUAAUCCGGUGUUUCUCAGUUUGGAUUGUCUUACUCAAAUGGUGAGAAGUAUAAAAAUAGCAGUUACUUUUUCGAAAACCAAGGAGCACAUCCAUUGAAAAUAGCUUCAGUUAUUACAGUAUUUUGCAUUAUUAUUUAUUUUAUGUUAACAUCCCAAAGUUCAGUUGUUCAUGGUCUGUUACACUGUGCUUUGAGUUUGGAAGAUAAUUUACCCGUAGCAACGCGCAUGCACUAUAAACUGUUUCAGUUUAGAUGAAAGUUACAAAACUAAGAUAAUGAUAAAGACUUAUGCUUCACAAGUAAUUGGUUCUGCUGUCGUUAUCGAAUGUGUUGCUUAACUAAAAUCUAUACCCUUUUUCUUCAUCUAUUCUUGCUGCUAAUCUACUAGAAGUUCUCCGAGGGUGUGCUGAGAAGCAAUUGUAGCAGACUUCUGAUCCAGUUACCAUUUUCGCUUAAUGUACAUAGCUCAUCAAGAUGAUGUUUCUUAUCAGUGCUAUUGUGCCAUGUGGGCAUAGCUGCAAAUAUGGGGGAACUGAUAAGGGAGGUUACAAAAACUGGAAGUGAAAAGAAAAUAAGGGAAGAAGGGAGUAUCAGUAGAGUGGAAGAGGGAAAUGGGAAGCUGUCAUGGUGAGCUCAGAAAAUAUUUUGCAGAGCCAUUAAUUUCACUCACUUCCUAUGAUAAUGUAACCACAUUAGGUCAAGUAGGAUUGGGUUUGUAGUUGGGAGGAAGGAGAAGAGACUGCGUUUUGAGCUACAGGAGUGAAGAAGUCACAGUGGCAUUUUGGAAAGAACAUGGACUGGAAUUUGAUGUUGACAGUAUUCGAGUAUCACCUCCCAUUUUGACAGUUGCCACUGGCUUCAUAAUCAGGCAAUAUCAAAGUAUGAAGAAAUAACAGUUCCGUCAAUUAGUCCACUUCCAGUUCUGAUAGUUGCCUAGCUCCUCUGUGAUAUACUUCUCAUCUUUUUAACAGCUUGGAAAAGUGUUCAAGGAAUGCUGCAUAUGUGCUGAGGUUUAAGUUGAUUUUGCUCGGGUUUGUGUUGAGCUACCUAUCGUUCUAUUGGUCUUUGUUUUCCCUUAAUUUGUUUAUGUAAAUUUUGGAAGUGCCAUUCAUUGGUAGGGAAGAAACUCCAGACAACAAAAUAUGAUUGAGUUUUGUUUGUCUCUCUUACUUUAUAAGUCUGUUUGGUUUAAGUUUUGAGUGGGGAUUAUUUGGGUCGACAAAUCGUUAACUUUAAUUGUCGUUAGGGACUGAGUAUCUGUGUGUUUUUGGGUGUGUAAGUUACAGAUAACAAAACAUUGAGGAUGCUCGAAUUUAUU